GUAGUCCACGCCGUAAACGAUGGAUACUAGCUGUUUGGUAGCAAUACUGAGUGGCUAAGCGAAAGUGAUAAGUAUCCCACCUGGGGAGUACGAACGCAAGUUUGAAACUCAAAGGAAUUGACGGGGGCCCGCACAAGCGGUGGAGCAUGUGGUUUAAUUCGAUGAUACGCGAGGAACCUUACCAGGGCUUAAAUGUAGUGGGACAGGCUUGGAAACAGGCCCUUCUUCGGACUCAUUACAAGGUGCUGCAUGGUUGUCGUCAGCUCGUGCCGUGAGGUGUCAGGUUAAGUCCUAUAACGAGCGCAACCCCUGUUGUUAGUUGCCAGCGAGUAAUGUCGGGAACUCUAACAAGACUGCCGGUGCAAACCGUGAGGAAGGUGGGGAUGACGUCAAAUCAUCACGGCCCUUACGUCCUGGGCUACACACGUGCUACAAUGGCCGGUACAGAGAGCAGCCACUGGGCGACCAGGAGCGAAUCUAUAAAACCGGUCACAGUUCGGAUUGGAGUCUGCAACCCGACUCCAUGAAGCUGGAAUCGCUAGUAAUCGGAUAUCAGCCAUGAUCCGGUGAAUA
This 573-nucleotide ribosomal RNA is filed under the name uncultured Flavobacterium sp. RNAcentral's name for it is "bacterial SSU rRNA". It matches the Rfam family "Bacterial small subunit ribosomal RNA", at positions 790 to 1368 of the family's 1533-position model. The record is from RNAcentral. Lineage: Bacteria; Pseudomonadati; Bacteroidota; Flavobacteriia; Flavobacteriales; Flavobacteriaceae.